RNAcentral lists this transfer RNA (87 nucleotides) under Ignavibacteria bacterium. RNAcentral's name for it is "tRNA-Ser". It matches the Rfam family "tRNA". Rfam says of the family: Transfer RNA (tRNA) molecules are approximately 80 nucleotides in length. Their secondary structure includes four short double-helical elements and three loops (D, anti-codon, and T loops). The record is from RNAcentral. Lineage: Bacteria; Pseudomonadati; Ignavibacteriota; Ignavibacteria.
GGAGAGGUGGCCGAGUGGCUGAAGGCACCGGUUUGCUAAACCGGCGUAGGGUCAAACUUACCGCGAGUUCGAAUCUCGCCCUCUCCG